UACGUAGGUGGCAAGCGUUGUCCGGAUUUAUUGGGUGUAAAGGGCUCGUAGGUGGCCAACUAAGUCAGACGUGAAAUCCCUCGGCUUAACCGGGGAACUGCAUCUGAUACUGGAUGGCUUGAGUUUGGGAGAGGGAUGCGGAAUUCCAGGUGUAGCGGUGAAAUGCGUAGAUAUCUGGAGGAACACCGGUGGCGAAGGCGGCAUCCUGGACCAACACUGACACUGAGGAGCGAAAGCCAGGGGAGCAAACGGG
This 253-nucleotide ribosomal RNA is filed under the name uncultured bacterium. Its description in RNAcentral is "partial 16S ribosomal RNA". It matches the Rfam family "Bacterial small subunit ribosomal RNA", at positions 524 to 776 of the family's 1533-position model. The record is from RNAcentral.